RNAcentral lists this long non-coding RNA (877 nucleotides) under Fragaria vesca (wild strawberry). Its description in RNAcentral is "long non-coding RNA (FVES_LNC005464)". Lineage: Eukaryota; Viridiplantae; Streptophyta; Magnoliopsida; Rosales; Rosaceae. The record is from RNAcentral.
GAUUUCUGUGUUUGUCAUUUUAUAUUGAUCUUGUUUGGACUUUAGUUUGAAGAAGAGGGGAAUUGGAAUAUAACGGUGGUUUUUAAAUACAAACCCAGAAGUUUUGAAUCUGUCAUUCAUUCUUUUUCAUCAGAUCAGAUCUGUUCAACUUGUAAGAGUUUUAAUUAUUUUACUUUAUCUAGCAUACAUAUAUAUAUAUAUAUAUAUAUAUAACACACAUAUACAUAUAUUGAUAAUUGUGUGAUUGUUCAUAUUGGUUGAAACAUAUGAAGCUAGCAUUACUCGUAUAGUUUCACAUUUUAAUAUUUGACAUUGUUUAGUUUGAUUAUAUACACAUCUGAAUGAUUGUUUUUGUUUUCUUUCAGUUUCAGAUGAUCAAUACAUAUUGGAGAUUCAUCACGGUGGUUAUUUUGACAAGCAGUUAGAUGGAAGUAAGAAAUAUAAAGUGGCUAGGUUUAGCAAGACGGCAGGGAAGAUCUACUUGGACGGAUUAGAUCCUGAACUCAUGUCUUUCAUUGAAUUGAACAACAUUGCUUGUGAUUUGGGGUACAGGGAGAAGCCUAUUUCUUAUCACUUCAAGCUUCCAAGGACAACAUGUAAUGAAGGUGGAUUCCAAUUAAAAACGAUGCAGAUGCAUUGGAAAUGGUUAAGUUGAUUCCACCAAAGAGCAAACAGAUAAGUUUGUACAUUACAGGUGGUGGUAGGAGGAAAAUAAGGGAGGCUGAAUUGGAUGAUUUAAGGCCAGUAGACCCUGAUCAUGAAAAUCCUCUCAAUACUAUGUCUGCAGCAGAAAAAGAGAGAAUGUUUGAGGAAGCUAAUUUGCAUGCAAAAACAGUUAAAAUACAUGUGUAGUGGGAGUUGAUGAGGAUGGUGGCCN